This 24-nucleotide non-coding RNA is filed under the name Mus musculus (house mouse). Lineage: Eukaryota; Metazoa; Chordata; Mammalia; Rodentia; Muridae. The record is from RNAcentral.
UGGUUCCAGGACAUGAAGUUUGCC